GAUGAACGCUGGCGGCGUGCCUAAUACAUGCAAGUCGAGCGGACAGACGAGGAGCUUGCUCCUCUGACGUUAGCGGCGGACGGGUGAGUAACACGUGGAUAACCUACCUAUAAGACUGGGAUAACUUCGGGAAACCGGAGCUAAUACCGGAUAAUAUAUUGAACCGCGUGGUUCAAUAGUGAAAGACGGUUUUGCUGUCACUUAUAGAUGGAUCCGCGCCGCAUUAGCUAGUUGGUAAGGUAACGGCUUACCAAGGCAACGAUGCGUAGCCGACCUGAGAGGGUGAUCGGCCACACUGGAACUGAGACACGGUCCAGACUCCUACGGGAGGCAGCAGUAGGGAAUCUUCCGCAAUGGGCGAAAGCCUGACGGAGCAACGCCGCGUGAGUGAUGAAGGUCUUCGGAUCGUAAAACUCUGUUAUUAGGGAAGAACAAAUGUGUAAGUAACUAUGCACGUCUUGACGGUACCUAAUCAGAAAGCCACGGCUAACUACGUG
Molecule: ribosomal RNA, 497 nt
Filed under: uncultured bacterium
Lineage: Bacteria
Description: partial 16S ribosomal RNA
Rfam family: Bacterial small subunit ribosomal RNA
Source: RNAcentral